AAGGUUGGCUCUGCCACCGGAAGCAAGCUUCAUCUAUAGGUUGGCUCUGCCACCCGGGAGUUAGAAGGUUGGCCCUGCAGCCAAAAAGGACCAAAAGGCACUAAGUAAUUAGAAAUUAUAAAGCUGUCCACUACAGAGUGAGUGGGUGUUCCUAGGUAUAGGUCCACCUUCAAGUGGGUGAUUAAGGCCACCUCCGUUUACAACACACAGCGUGCGGACAGUGCACCCACUCGUGAAGGCCCUCAAUGCGGUCAAUCUGCAA
Molecule: long non-coding RNA, 262 nt
Filed under: Panicum hallii
Lineage: Eukaryota; Viridiplantae; Streptophyta; Magnoliopsida; Poales; Poaceae
Description: long non-coding RNA (PHAL_LNC000601)
Source: RNAcentral